GGGGAAUAUUGCACAAUGGGCGCAAGCCUGAUGCAGCAACGCCGCGUGAGGGAUGACGGCCUUCGGGUUGUAAACCUCUUUUAGUAGGGAAGAAGCCUUCGGGUGACGGUACCUGCAGAAAAAGCACCGGCUAACUACGUGCCAGCAGCCGCGGUAAUACGUAGGGUGCAAGCGUUGUCCGGAAUUAUUGGGCGUAAAGAGCUCGUAGGCGGCUUGUCGCGUCUGCUGUGAAAUCCCGGAGCUCAACUCCGGGCGUGCAGUGGGUACGGGCAGGCUAGAGUGCGGUAGGGGAGAUUGGAAUUCCUGGUGUAGCGGUGGAAUGCGCAGAUAUCAGGAGGAACACCGAUGGCGAAGGCAGAUCUCUGGGCCGCUACUGACGCUGAGGAGCGAAAGCAUGGGGAGCGAAC
This 407-nucleotide ribosomal RNA is filed under the name uncultured bacterium. RNAcentral's name for it is "bacterial SSU rRNA". It matches the Rfam family "Bacterial small subunit ribosomal RNA", at positions 356 to 773 of the family's 1533-position model. The record is from RNAcentral.